ACGGCGAGUGAAGCGGCAACAGCUCAAAUUUGAAAUCUGGCCCCUUCGGGGUCCGAGUUGUAAUUUGCAGAGGGUGCUUUUGGUGUUGGCCGUGGUCUAAGUUCCUUGGAACAGGACGUCACAGAGGGUGAGAAUCCCGUACGUGGCCGCCGGCCCUCGCCUUGUAAAGCCCCUUCGACGAGUCGAGUUGUUUGGGAAUGCAGCUCUAAAUGGGAGGUAAAUUUCUUCUAAAGCUAAAUACCCGCCAGAGACCGAUAGCGCACAAGUAGAGUGAUCGAAAGAUGAAAAGCACUUUGGAAAGAGAGUGAAAAAGCACGUGAAAUUGUUGAAAGGGAAGCGCUUGCGGCCAGACGUGCCCGCGGUUGUUCAUCUGGGCUCUCGCCCGGUGCACUCCUCCGCGGGCAGGCCAGCAUCAGUUUGGGCGGUCGGACAAAGGUCUCUGUCACGUACCACCCCUCGGGGUGGCCUUAUAGGGGAGACGCAACACGGCCAGCCUGGACUGAGGUUCCGCGCAUCUGCUAGGAUGCUGGCGUAAUGGCAGCAAGCGGCCCGUCUUGAAACACGGACCAAGGAGUCUAACAUCUAUGCGAGUGUUUGGGUGUCAAGCCCGAGCGCGUAAUGAAAGUGAACGGAGGUGGGAACCCCUCGGGGCGCACCAUCGACCGAUCCUGAUGUCUUCGGAUGGAUUUGAGUAAGAGCAUAGCUGUUGGGACCCGAAAGAUGGUGAACUAUGCCUGAAUAGGGUGAAGCCAGAGGAAACUCUGGUGGAGGCUCGCAGCGGUUCUGACGUGCAAAUCGAUCGUCAAAUUUGGGCAUAGGGGCGAAAGACUAAUCGAACCAUCUAGUAGCUGGUUCCUGCCGAAGUUUCCCUCAGGA
RNAcentral lists this ribosomal RNA (876 nucleotides) under Dendryphion europaeum. RNAcentral describes it as "eukaryotic LSU rRNA". It matches the Rfam family "Eukaryotic large subunit ribosomal RNA", at positions 86 to 978 of the family's 3401-position model. The record is from RNAcentral. Lineage: Eukaryota; Fungi; Ascomycota; Dothideomycetes; Pleosporales; Torulaceae.